AUACGGAGGAUCCGAGCGUUAUCCGGAUUUAUUGGGUUUAAAGGGUGCGUAGGCGGCCUUUUAAGUCAGCGGUGAAAGUCUGUGGCUCAACCAUAGAAUUGCCGUUGAAACUGGGAGGCUUGAGUAUGUUUGAGGCAGGCGGAAUGCGUGGGGUAGCGGGGGAAUGCUUAGAUAUCACGCAGAACCCCGAUUGCGAAGGCAGCCGGCCAAGCCAUGACUGACGCUGAUGCACGAAAGCGUGGGGAUCAAACAGGAUUAGAUACCCUGGUAGUCCACGCAGUAAACGAUGAUCACUAGCUGUUUGCGAUACACAGUAAGCGGCACAGCGAAAGCGUUAAGUGAUCCACCUGGGGAGUACGCCGGCAACGGUGAAACUCAAAGGAAUUGACGGGG
This 393-nucleotide ribosomal RNA is filed under the name uncultured bacterium. RNAcentral's name for it is "partial 16S ribosomal RNA". It matches the Rfam family "Bacterial small subunit ribosomal RNA", at positions 523 to 918 of the family's 1533-position model. The record is from RNAcentral.